GAGAAUGAGAUGUCCUUGUAUGCUCAUAGCCAUGGAUGUUCAAAUUGGUCAAACACUUCAACUACUAUCCAAUAAUUUCCAAUUUUAAAGUAUGGUCGACUUCGUUAAAUGGUAAUUAUGUUAUUGAUACAGAAAAUGGCUUAAAUUUUAUUGUGUGGGCCAUAAUCGUAUGAUGUGUAUUGUCUUGUGUUUGAGCAUUUCUAAGGCUAUAGACAUGUUACCUAUAGCAUUAUAUAUUUGGCAUUUAUGUGUUAUCAAGUUGGAAUGUUUAGAAAAUAUGUAAAAUGUGAGACACACUCUAACUAUUCAUCCCUUGAUAUAUUUGAUGAGUUAUAUUUGUUGAAUUCAAUGUAUCUUUCAUGUAUAAUUUAAUCUAAUUAAAUUAUACAUAACCCCUCCGAUAAUUAUAACUAACCAUUUAACCAUUUUACAGAUUUUCUUUGGAGAUGCUCUUAGCUCAUUCCAUUAAUCUUAUGGCCGAAGAGAGAGUCUUCAAAAGAAAGAGCAAUAAUAUUUUCAUUUUUUUUGUGUGUGUGGGCAAAAAUUCAUAAACGAAAAAAAAAAAAGAAAACUUGAUUCAUAGCAAGCUAGGAGCUAGGCGUCCAAGGAUAUGAUGAGGGAUUAAGUGGUUUAAUAUGGCAUCCUGACGGCUGAUGAGCUAUAUAGUGGUGAUAUUUACAUAGCACCAACAUCGGCUAGUGAGCACCGAGAGAGCAAGCAAACAAGUGCAUAGAUGGAUCAACUCAUCAACACAUGAUGAAGAAGAAGAACAAGAACGAAGGCUAUAAUGGGCCGGUAUUAUAAGUUGAGAUCCACCGAACAAAUAUUUCACACACAAAUUUUAAUAAGCCGCCUUCCGGAUUUUAGUGCUCUUCUGCUCCCAUUUUUCUUCAGAUGGCGACUCCUUUCUUCAUCUAUACUUCAUGUACUACAAACCAAAUUUAUAAUGCUCCUCAUGGCUAUACAACAUGCACUAGACUUUGUGUGUC
Molecule: long non-coding RNA, 989 nt
Filed under: Daucus carota (carrot)
Lineage: Eukaryota; Viridiplantae; Streptophyta; Magnoliopsida; Apiales; Apiaceae
Description: long non-coding RNA (DCAR_LNC002889)
Source: RNAcentral